UACGGAGGGUGCAAGCGUUAUCCGGAUUCACUGGGUUUAAAGGGUGCGUAGGUGGGUCUGUAAGUCCGUGGUGAAAUCUCUAGGCUUAACCUGGAAACUGCCAUGGAUACUAUAGGUCUUGAAUACUGUGGAGGUCAGCGGAAUAUGUCAUGUAGCGGUGAAAUGCUUAGAUAUGACAUAGAACACCAAUUGCGAAGGCAGCUGGCCACACAAAUAUUGACACUGAGGCACGAAAGCGUGGGGAUCAAACAGG
RNAcentral lists this ribosomal RNA (253 nucleotides) under uncultured bacterium. RNAcentral describes it as "partial 16S ribosomal RNA". It matches the Rfam family "Bacterial small subunit ribosomal RNA", at positions 524 to 776 of the family's 1533-position model. The record is from RNAcentral.